RNAcentral lists this ribosomal RNA (639 nucleotides) under Acinetobacter baumannii. RNAcentral's name for it is "bacterial SSU rRNA". It matches the Rfam family "Bacterial small subunit ribosomal RNA", at positions 161 to 863 of the family's 1533-position model. Lineage: Bacteria; Pseudomonadati; Pseudomonadota; Gammaproteobacteria; Moraxellales; Moraxellaceae. The record is from RNAcentral.
UGCUAAUACCCAUAAUAGGAAAAGCAGGGGAUCCUCGGACCUUGGCUAUAGAUGAGCCUAAGUGGAUUAGUAGUUGGUGGGGUAAAGGCCUCCGGACGAUCUGUAGCGGGUUGAGAGGAUGAUCCGCCACACUGGGACUGAGACACGGCCCAGAUCCUACGGGAGGCAGCAGUGGGGAAUAUUUGACAAGGGGGAACCCUGAUCCCGCCCUCCGGUGUGGAAGAAGGCCUUAUGGUUGUAACAUUUUACGAGGAGGAGGCUACUUAGUUAAACCUAGGGAUAGUGGACGUUACUCGCAGAAUAAGCACCGGCUAACUCGUGCCAGCAGCCGCGGUAAUACGAGGGUGCAGCGUUAAUGGAUUUACUGGGCGUAAAGCGGCGAGGCGGUUUAAGUGGAUGUGAAAUCCCCGGCUAACUGGGAAUUGCAUUGAACUGGGCUAGAGUAUGGAGAGGGGUAGAAUUCCAGGUGUAGCGGUGAAAUGCGUAGAGAUUGGAGGAAUACCGUGGCGAAGGCGCCCUCUGGCCUAAUACUGACGCUAGGUACGAAAGCAUGGGGAGCAAACAGGAUUAGAUACCCUGGUAGUCCAGCCGUAAACUGUAACUGCGUGGGGCCCGAGGCCUUUAGUGCCCAAGCUUAAA